CCUACGGGGAGCAGCAGUGGGGAAUAUUGCACAAUGGGGGAAACCCUGAUGCAGCGACGCCGCGUGAGUGAAGAAGUAUCUCGGUAUGUACAGCUCUAUCAGCAGGGAAGAAAAUGACGGUACCUGACUAAGAAGCCCCGGCUAACUACGUGCCAGCAGCGGCUGUCAUACGUAGGGUGCAAGCGUAAUCCGGCUUUACUGGGUGUAAAGGGGGCGUCGACGGCGCUGCAAGUCCGGAGUGAAAGUCCAUGGCUUAACCAUGGUACUGCUUUGGAAACUGUGGAGCUUGAGUGCGGGAGGGGCAGGCGGAAUGCCUAGUGUAGCGGUGAAAUGCGUAGAUAUUAGGCGGAACACCGGCGGCGAAGGCGGCCUGCUGGACCGUAACUGACGUUGAGGCUCGAAAGCGUGGGGAGCAAACAGGAUUAGAGACCCGUGUAGUC
This 440-nucleotide ribosomal RNA is filed under the name uncultured bacterium. RNAcentral describes it as "partial 16S ribosomal RNA". It matches the Rfam family "Bacterial small subunit ribosomal RNA", at positions 338 to 795 of the family's 1533-position model. The record is from RNAcentral.